Molecule: unclassified non-coding RNA, 195 nt
Filed under: plant metagenome
Description: partial contains small subunit ribosomal RNA, internal transcribed spacer 1, and 5.8S ribosomal RNA
Source: RNAcentral
UUUCCGUAGGUGAACCUGCGGAAGGAUCAUUAUCGUGGGGAUUCGUCCCCUCUAGAUAGACACCCUUUGUUUAUGAGUACCAAUUGUUUCCUCGGCGGGCUUGCUCGCCGUUGGACAUCCAAAACCUUUGUAGUAGCAGUAUCUUCAGUAAAAAAACAAAUAUUAAAACUUUCAACAACGGAUCUCUUGGUUCUG